Molecule: long non-coding RNA, 466 nt
Filed under: Gallus gallus (chicken)
Lineage: Eukaryota; Metazoa; Chordata; Aves; Galliformes; Phasianidae
Description: long non-coding RNA NONGGAT003206
Source: RNAcentral
CCUUAGCACCAUGCAAAAGUGAGUUUCUUCAGUCCUCUGUCAUGAAGUAUGGAAGAAUGAAUUUUGAGUAUUACUUCUGAGCGGGUGCAGUGCUGUAGGGGGUGUCCAAUAGGCCACUGGAAGCAUUAGAGCGUCCGACAGCGGCAGCUGAUGGCAGCAGAGUGAUACGAGUCUGUGUAUAAGUGGCGGUGCUUAGAGCUGAGUGAAUUCCUUUUAGGGACAAAAAAUCCAUGUCUCAACUUUUGCAGCUGAUAGCAUUUUGUUUGCUGAUGCCUCUUUGCCCUGCAGAAUGCAGAGCUGUCAGGCAGACCGGGAGGUCCUUUGCUGCCAUCGGAGCAGGAAUGAGACCAGUAGUGCUUUGUAAGCUGAUGCAAACCGCCUUGCAGUGAAGCGCGGCCUUGCAGAAAGGAAGGGGAGGAGCAUGGAGUGUGGCAUGGCACUGAAGAGAGGUACAGCCAUAUAGCAG